GACGAACGCUGGCGGCGCGCCUAACACAUGCAAGUCGAACGAGCGAGAGAGAGCUUGCUUUCUCGAGCGAGUGGCGAACGGGUGAGUAACGCGUGAGGAACCUGCCUCAAAGAGGGGGACAACAGUUGGAAACGACUGCUAAUACCGCAUAAGCCCACGGGUCGGCAUCGACCAGAGGGAAAAGGAGCAAUCCGCUUUGAGAUGGCCUCGCGUCCGAUUAGCUAGUUGGUGAGGUAACGGCCCACCAAGGCGACGAUCGGUAGCCGGACUGAGAGGUUGAACGGCCACAUUGGGACUGAGACACGGCCCAGACUCCUACGGGAGGCAGCAGUGGGGAAUAUUGCACAAUGGGGGAAACCCUGAUGCAGCGACGCCGCGUGGAGGAAGAAGGUCUUCGGAUUGUAAACUCCUGUUGUUGAGGAAGAUAAUGACGGUACUCAACAAGGAAGUGACGGCUAACUACGUGCCAGCAGCCGCGGUAAAACGUAGGUCACAAGCGUUGUCCGGAAUUACUGGGUGUAAAGGGAGCGCAGGCGGGAAGACAAGUUGGAAGUGAAAUCCAUGGGCUCAACCCAUGAACUGCUUUCAAAACUGUUUUUCUUGAGUAGUGCAGAGGUAGGCGGAAUUCCCGGUGUAGCGGUGGAAUGCGUAGAUAUCGGGAGGAACACCAGUGGCGAAGGCGGCCUACUGGGCACCAACUGACGCUGAGGCUCGAAAGUGUGGGUAGCAAACAGGAUUAGAUACCCUGGUAGUCCACACCGUAAACGAUGAUUACUAGGUGUUGGAGGAUUGACCCCUUCAGUGCCGCAGUUAACACAAUAAGUAAUCCACCUGGGGAGUACGACCGCAAGGUUGAAACUCAAAGGAAUUGACGGGGGCCCGCACAAGCAGUGGAGUAUGUGGUUUAAUUCGACGCAACGCGAAGAACCUUACCAAGUCUUGACAUCCCUUGACGAUGCUGGAAACAGUAUUUCUCUUCGGAGCAAGGAGACAGGUGGUGCAUGGUUGUCGUCAGCUCGUGUCGUGAGAUGUUGGGUUAAGUCCCGCAACGAGCGCAACCCUUAUGGUCAGUUACUACGCAAGAGGACUCUGGCCAGACUGCCGUUGACAAAACGGAGGAAGGUGGGGAUGACGUCAAAUCAUCAUGCCCUUUAUGACUUGGGCUACACACGUACUACAAUGGCGUUAAACAAAGAGAAGCAAGACCGCGAGGUGGAGCAAAACUCAGAAACAACGUCCCAGUUCGGACUGCAGGCUGCAACUCGCCUGCACGAAGUCGGAAUUGCUAGUAAUCGUGGAUCAGCAUGCCACGGUGAAUACGUUCCCGGGCCUUGCACA
RNAcentral lists this ribosomal RNA (1338 nucleotides) under uncultured bacterium. RNAcentral's name for it is "bacterial SSU rRNA". It matches the Rfam family "Bacterial small subunit ribosomal RNA", at positions 28 to 1387 of the family's 1533-position model. The record is from RNAcentral.